UUGGUCUCGUUUCUCGUUGCUCAAGUUCUUUGAUAUUUUCCUACUUAUUUCCUAUUUUGUUACAAUUUGUAGCUUACAAGUUCAUCGAAUCGAGCCCUACUUCCCCGUUUUUGCGUCGGCAUUCUACUGUAAAAACUUCCAGAACCAUUAUGUAUUUUGGAAAGAGCUGAUAUGAUAAAAAGUUUGUCUAUAAUGUGUUAGAUGCUGAUCGACUUUGUCAUACUAACUAAGAGAUGCAAGCAACAAUAACAAGUCUCUUAAAGAAUGUUCCAGUCCAGAGAGUUGGAAACAAUUAUUGUGUCUGUAUAAGUUGUGGAAUAUCUUUGGACAGGCACUCAAGAAGACAAACUCACAGGCCAUAGGCUUAUGGAAAAAAGUGUUAAGUGGUAUUAUAUUGAAAAACAAAUAUCUCCGAGACAGAUGCCUGAUGGAUGCCCAUGUAUGGGUUGUUUGCAGGAUGAGCUCACCUCAAAAGCAUGAGCUCUAGAGAACUUUAAUGUUGUGUUAAGUGUGCCGGUGCAUUGUACCUAAUCUAGUUAGUAGCUAGGUAUUAGCUGGAAAUAUUUUGUUCAUAGAUUUUGUGAAACUAUAAGCUUAAAUCACUUUAUCAUAUUAUCAUAUCAUUAAAUAGAAAAAAAAUAGGUAUGUAUAUUUUAAUAUAGUAUAAUGUUAUUGUUAAGUUUAUUCCAUACCAAGUCUGUUAAAAAAUCAUAAGUAGGUAUAUGGUCUUCUAUCAUAUAGGUUGUGAGGUGGAUGACCAACCUCAUAAACCCUGGUAUCAAGGUUAUUACUCAGCCACCAAAGUCCCCCUGACAUGGGUUUUGUAACAACCAUGUAUUUACAUCAAUAAGUAGUAACCGGGACCAAUGGCUUAACAUGCCAUCAGAAGCAUGGAUCGUGUUAUUUGUUGACAUGGGUGAUCAGCCAGCCGUGUCCUAACUAACUGGGGAUUACAAAGUAACUUUUGUGAUAAGGCCCCACCAGGAUUCAAGCUUUGGAUCGUGACCCCAGCGAUCAACGACUGGACCACAGAGGCUGAGACUACUUGGUUAAGUUAAUGUUUU
RNAcentral lists this long non-coding RNA (1064 nucleotides) under Pectinophora gossypiella (pink bollworm). RNAcentral's name for it is "uncharacterized LOC126381210". The record is from RNAcentral. Lineage: Eukaryota; Metazoa; Arthropoda; Insecta; Lepidoptera; Gelechiidae.